RNA transcript from Anguilla rostrata (American eel), 7160 nucleotides. It is a transcript of the gene named trichohyalin, with no coding region annotated. The transcript is spliced from 11 exons. NCBI's taxonomy places the organism in Eukaryota, Metazoa, Chordata, Actinopteri, Anguilliformes, Anguillidae. The record is from RefSeq and is a predicted model, not a curated record.
CCAGGAAAUGAGUACUUCAUGGUUUGAUUAAGGAUGCAUCGAGGUUUAAAUAAUGUUCUGACAUACAGGCGCACAGGAAAAUGUUAACUGUUUUGAGAUUCAAACGCGCAGAUGCUCGCGUGGUCCUAUAAUUUAACCAUAGGGCUGGCUGACGAAUGAACAACAUUUAGUUGUUUCAGUAACCAAUAUUUGUCUUUCUUGCCAUUGUCGGUGUUCUCUCAAUGUCUAAAGACAGUUCCUUAUAUCGUUCCGUUCUGUAUCCUGGAUAUUGUUGUAGAAGUUUUGUGCCUGUGGAUGUUUGUAACGGUAGCUACUAAUCGUGACACAAACACUGCUCAAGCUUGUCAUGGACCCACCGCCCAGUCCUCUAGCCCGCGUUCGGCAGGUGUUUUGGGCAGUUCUGAACUAUGUGACAGCAGCUGUGCAACAAUACCUAACACCAGAGCCUGUAACAGGAAAUGGUGAUACGCUCACGGGACAGGAAGCCACAGUCUCUGUGACCACUGAGACACAGAAAUGGACAGAGGAUGACAAACAUGAAAGAGCAAAUAAUGAAGCAAAGAAAAAGAUGAGAGAAGACAGAAAGAAUGUAGCAGAUGCUUGUGACAGUGGGUGUGAACAUGCAACAACUCAGGAACAGUGCAUGAUUUCCAUUGCCACAGAGACCAACAGGAAAACUGAUCAGUAUGUAGUUAAGGACAUAAAGGUUAGAGUGACAGAGAAUGUAAUUGAGAGACGAGAAAUUGUAGGAAAUGAACCAACAACCCAUAUAGAAAAGGAAGCCAAAGAUUCUCAGUUUACUGAUGAGAGAGAGAUGGAAAGAUAUGGCACUAUUUCAAAACAUGUUGUGCAGACUGUACAUAUGUCUGGACCAAGUUAUUUUGAAGAAAGAGGAAGAAGGGGGCAGGGAAACACAAAUGAGGACUAUUAUCAGGACAAGAGUGACGGGGAACAAAAGCCAACACGACGAGAAGAAAAAACAAAGGACAAAGAGAGUGGGAAGCUGUUUAGUGAUGGAGAGGAGCAGACUGAAACCAACAAUAGAGAUAGAGGAAGAGAGGAACAUCGUGCAGGCCUCGUAAAGACAGGUGAAAUGAAGAUCAUUAGAGGAGCAGAAGAGGAAAAUGAAGAUCUGAGAGAACUAAUGGAAGAAGUCGUGCAAAUAAUGGUGGAGGAUGAUGAAAUGGACAUAAAAACAAAGGAUCUAAGAAGCAAGGAAGGAACCAAGCAGAAAAUGCAGCCUAAGGGUGAUGGUGAGGAUAGAGGAAAAGAAUUCAAAUUGCAACUUGUGAGUGGAGCAAUUGGAGUUGGAGAUGAGAAUAUAAAAACUGUGGAGAUAGGAAGACAAGGAGGUGUAAAAGAAGCACAUGCCAUAAAAGAGAAACCAAAGGAAAAAACUGAAAUGGUAACAAGUUUAACUGUCUCUGGAAAAGGAGAAUUGGACAACAAAGAUAUAGGAAGUGACAGAGACAUCAUGAACUCAGGAGGGGGAAAAGACAAAGAAAGAUAUGAAGAAAAAGAAGGCACACGAAAGUUAUUAAUUGAAGAACAGUAUGGAGCAGUUUCAGGGACAGAGGAAGGAAAGAAGGAUGAUGUAGAAGAGUUGGCAUCAGCCGUGGAGAGUGGUGGAACAGAGAUAACACAUGUAGAAAGGGGAGAAGAGAAAACACAUGCAUGUGAUAUAAAAGGAGAUAAGAGCACAGGGUCUCAGAAAGCAGGGCAAAUAGCGAAGGCUUUCAAUACAAGAGGUGAAGAGUCCGGCACAGAGAGGGAAAGGGGAGCGGAAAAUUUAAAAGUUAAAAAAACAAGAACAGAGUUUGAAGGGAUGGAAAGAGAAGGAUCUCAACAGAAAACAGAUGAUGACAUAAAGAAUGAAUCUGAAUGCAAAGGGAGAAAAUUGGAAACAAACUGGGAUGAAGUGGGAACUAUUUUGAUUGAGGUGGCAGAAACAGGGGACGAAGUAAACAAAGCACCAGUACAGGAAGAGAGAAUGGAACUGACAGGUGCACCUACAGGAGGUGAAGAAAGUGAGAAGUAUGAAAGUGAAACAGAAAUUGAUACAGGAGUAAAGACUGAAAACUAUGUAGAUGGAUGGAAAGAUGUACCCACAAAAGAACAGAAAAUGCACAAAUCAGAAAGAGGACAAAAUGGGAAUGGUGCAGUGGGGAGACAAAUAGAGAUGACCAAUGUGGAUGGAGACUUCAAAAAAAAUGAGCUGUGCCAGACAGAGGUCGCAGUGGGAAACAAAGAAAAUGAAAUGGAAAGCAUCGGACUGAGAAACAUAGAGACUGAAAACAGAGAACUCAAGGAAAUAGCAGAAGAAUGUGGGGUGGUUGCAGAAGAAGAAGAAAGCAAAAAUUCAAUGGCCAAAGGACAGGAAGAAGAAACCAAAACAAUGAUAGAAGAAAAGCAAGAGCAUGAAAGACAUCUCAUUAAAGAAAAUAAAGAAGAACCAUUAGUGGGCCAGAGAGACAUAGGACAUCAUUUAGACCCAGCAGUAGAGAUAGAGGCUGGUGCAGUGGAUGAAGAGGGAGAUGAUGAGGGAAAAAAUGAUGCAGAAGAAGAGAGCCUGAUUAUAAAAGAAAAAAUAGAAUGGGAGCAUACAAAAGAAGUUGGAAAGUCUGGAUAUACUGAGGAAAUGGAAGCCAAUAAGUGGGGUAUCGAGGAAAAAGGAGAGGGCAUACCUGUUGGAAGAAAUGACAAAGAAGUGAGACCAGAACCUAUGGUGCCAGUACCUGUAGAAAGAAAUGACAAAGGUGUGCUGAGUGAAGAAUCCCAUUCAGGUGUGGAAAGAGACAUUUUUACAAAGGAAACUGAGACAGAUACUGAUGCAGAUGAGAAAGACGUAGGGAUACUCAGUACAGGUGAAGAUGAGAGAAUCACAGAUAUGGGAAGAAAUGAGAACAACUUCAGAGAUACAAUAGUGGAGAACAAAGAAGAACAAAGAGAAGGUGAAGCGUGCAGUGAGGACAAAGACAUGGAAAGUGUUGAGAUGAGGAAAACUGAGACUGAAGAAAAAGACAUAAACAAAGAAAAAGAUAUAAAAGAUGAUGAAGGGAUAAGUGUGGAGGAACAAAGACAAGAGGGACAGUUUUCUGAAAUAAUGACAGAAGGAAAACAGAGAGACAUGGGAAAUGAUUUUGACUCAACAGGAGAGACAGAGACUGGAGCAGUGGAUGAAGAGGUAGAUGAUGAGGUGGGGAAAGAGGGAGAAGAGUGCAUGAUUUUAAAAGAAGGAACAGGAGGGAAGAAUACAAAAGAAUUUGGAGAGUCUGAAUAUAGUGGGGAAAUAGAAGCUGAUGUGUGGGGUACUGAGGAGAAAAGAGAUGAAAAAGAAGUGAGACCAGAACCUAUGGUGCCAGUACCUGUAGAAAGAAAUGACAAAGGUGUGCUGAGUGAAGAAUCCCAUUCAGGUGUGGAAAGAGACAUUUUUACAAAGGAAACUGAGACAGAUACUGAUGCAGAUGAGAAAGACGUAGGGAUACUCAGUACAGGUGAAGAUGAGAGAAUCACAGAUAUGGGAAGAAAUGAGAACAACUUAAGAGAAAUGAUAGUGGAGAACAAAGAAGAAGAGCAAAGAGAAGGUGAAGUAUGCGGUGAGGACAAAGACAUGGAAAGUGUUGAGAUGAGGAAAACUGAGACUGAAGAGAAAGACAUAAACAAAGAAAAAGAUAUAAAAGAUGAUGAAGGGAUAAGUGUGGAGGAACAAAGACAAGAGGGACAGUUUUCUGAAAUAAUGACAGAAGGAAAACAGAGAGACAUGGGAAAUGAUUUUGACUCAACAGGAGAGACAGAGACUGGAGAAGUGGAUGAAGAGGUAGAUGAUGAGGUGGGGAAAGAGGGAGAAGAAGAGUGCAUGAUUUUAAAAGAAGGAACAGGACGGAAGAAUACAAAAGAAUUUGGAGAGUCUGAAUAUAGUGGGGAAAUAGAAGCUGAUGUGUGGGGUACUGAGGAGAAAAGAGAUGAAAAAGAAGUGAGACCAGAACCUAUGGUGCCAGUACCUGUAGAAAGAAAUGACAAAGGUGUGCUGAGUGAAGAAUCCCAUUCAGGUGUGGAAAGAGACAUUUUUACAAAGGAAACUGAGACAGAUACUGAUGCAGAUGAGAAAGACGUAGGGAUACUCAGUACAGGUGAAGAUGAGAGAAUCACAGAUAUGGGAAGAAAUGAUAGCAACUUAAGAGAAAUGAUAGUGGAGAACAAAGAAGAAGAGCAAAGAGAAGGUGAAGUAUGCGGUGAGGACAAAGACAUGAACAGUGUUGAAGAGAAAGACAUAUACAAAAGUGCAGGAGAGAUAGAGAGGGAAAAAUCAGUAGCUGAAACAGGGAAUAUAGAAACAGUUUGGCAGGAAGUAGAAAUUAGAGAAGAAAUGGAAGACGAAAAGGACAUAAAAGCACCAGUUGAAGAAGUAUGUCACAAAGGAUCUCUGGAACAACUUGUAUUGGAAGAGGGGGAUGAACUUAUAAGAGAAGAGUGGAAAGAAGACAUUCAAAGAGAGAAAAGAGGGGGGAGUAGCAAUGGAGUACAAAUAAAUGUAAUACUUGAUGGAGACAAACAAGAAAGAAAAGAUGAUGAAGAGAUGCGUGUGGAGGCACAGGGACAAUUUUCAGAAUUAAUAACAGAAAGAAAACAGGAAAUCAGGAAAGAUUUAGACCCAACAGUAGAGAUAGAGGGUGGAGCAGUGGAUGAAGAGGAAGAUGCUAAAGAAGAAAAAGAGAAAGAAGAAGAGGGCAUGAUUUUAAAAGAAGAAACAGGGGAGAAGAAAACAAAAGAAUUUGGAGAGUCUGCAUAUAGUGGGGAAAUGGAAGCCAGUGUGUGGGGUACUGAGGAGAAAGGAGAUGAAAUAGAAGGGAGACCAGAUGAGGUGAGAAAGGUUCUCAUAGGCAAUAGAGAAAUCCAUGAUACUUUUGGUAUUGAAGUAGCUGGAGAUAGCGAAAAGGCAGAACUGACGGGACAGGAAGUAGAGUCGAAGGAACCUGAAAGGAACAGUGAGGUAGUGAAAUCCACUGAAAUACAGUGGGAGAAAUUUGAUGACAGAGAAACAGAGGAAAAAACAACAACAAGGCUGGAUAACAAAGAGACUGAGGGACUAAAUGUUGAAGAAGAAAAUGAUGAAAUGAAGAAAACUAUUGAUAACUGGACAGAGCGUCAUACACCUUCGCUGGAUUUUACUGCCCAAAAGUCCCGAAUUGCUCUGAAGAACGCCCACUCUCGCCCACCCAGGAACCCUCGCUCACUACUCAACACCCCAUCCCUGCUUCCCACCCCAUCAGAACUGCAGCAGCCUGAGAAACUUAACGUAGUUCCAAUGGUGGUAAAGCAAGGAGGUCCCGUAAUAUCAGGAUUCAAACUGCCAGGUAUGGGUGGGGGAUUUCCUGCACUGAAGAGGACACACAGAGGAGUAAGGGAGGGAGAAGGAGUCACUGCAGAGUGUGUGUAUCCAAAGAACUCACAGGCCCCUGAUGCCACCAAGACGCUGAAGAGUGACAGAGAAGAGGUGGUUGGAGGCAAAGUAGUGGGAAUGGGAGUUAUUGGAGUGAAAUUGCCUGGUUUUACGGGAGAGUUUCCUGGACUGAGAAAGACGGAAAGAGGAGCGAAAGUGAGAGAGCAGACACCAGAGAAGAAUCCACCCUCUCAAAAUAACAGCACAGAGAGAAGUGACAGGACAGGAACAGACAGCAUCACAGGUGUUAAACAAAUGGGUUUUGGCUCUGGAUUUACUUUACUGAGAAAAACAGAGAGGGGAGUGAGGAUAAGAGAAGGAGAAGAUACACAGCACAGUACACAGAAUUCAGAAGUAGAAGUGAAUAUACCUGGAGUUGAUCAUCAGGAAACACUUCCCAAAGCCAAACCCAAAUGGACACCACCAGGGAAACCUGGGAUUGGAAUAGAUAACCCUUCAAUGAUAUCAGAACUCAAGAACAAGCUGAGGAAGACAGAAUAAGGCUGAAGAGUAAAAUAAUCUGAGGAUGGUUUUUCUUUUAACGUUUCUUACUUGUACGUACACCCCCUGAUACCUGAGAGUGUUUACUAUUUUUUCAGAUCCCUGAAUGAUAAACAGUGUAAAACGGAAGACUUCAAACAAUCAAUUUAGCUUUAGUCCUUUUGAAUGCUACUAUUCCAACUGUCCAUUUUACGUUUGAACCCACAAUGCUUUCUUUUUUCUCAUAACUUUUUUAACAAUUAUUUUUUAAACACUGAAUUUUUGCCUUGUGUUUCUGUACGUCAUUUUUUAAACUGAGACAUAUUUUAUUUCAUGUUUAUUUCAGUCCUUAUUUUAAUUUUAUUUAUGUUGAACCCACAAUGUUUUCUUUUUUCUCAUAAAUUUUAAAAUAUUUUUUAAACACUGAAUUUUUGCCUUGUGUUUCUGUACUUUUUGAGGCAUAUUUUAUUUAAUGUUUAUUUCAAUCCUUAUUUUUAUUUCAACAUAAAUAUGAAUGUAAAAACAUUAGCAUUUAACGUGUUUUUUACAAUAUACCUGUAUGCAUCCUAUCAUUGUCAGACUAACACAGCUAGAUGAAGUAUGGGAGAGCCAACAUAAAUGUAAUGCUUGAUAAAUGUAAUGCAGCCAAUAACUUAAUGUACAGUGUAGCUACCAUAGCCAUUCCAGGUCUGUAUAUGGGCAAUUAAGUCCCCUACCACCUCCCAAAGGAACAGAGAAAUGUGAUUACCUUUGCAGGGAAUAUUUCCAAAAAUUGUUUUUGAGCAAGCUAAGUAAAAAACUGUUCCAGAAGUAAUUUUCGAGUAUAUACCUUUAUUUUUAUUUACAAUUAAUCAAAUCAAACAUCGUUUAAAAAACCUAUCUGUCUUUGAAAAGUUAAUAUGGUUCUUGAAGUGUAUUCCAGCAGGCAUUGGAUGUAACAUGACAAAAAAUAUGUGAUGUCACAUCUGAGUGUAGACACUGCUAGCAUAACUAGUUAGCUAGCUUGUCAAUUAAAUUGUUAAUCUUAAUUUAUAAUGCAUAAUGUCAUGAGAAUCCUCAGACAGUAUGAAGAGGAAUGAAGAGAGUGAACAAACAUCCACGUUUAGCUAACUUUACUAGAUUUAUUAGCUCCUCGCCUCCUGCCCAAAACAAGAACUUGUUUCUUGCUGCAAUAUUAUCACGUGGGUCUGUCCAGUCUUUCAACAGAGGACAUACAACAUAAACAAUAUCAUUAUCUUUA